AACCUGGUUGAUCCUGCCAGUAGUCAUAUGCUUGUCUCAAAGAUUAAGCCAUGCAUGUGUAAGCACACACUGUUUUAAAAGUGAAGCCGCGAAUGGCUCAUUACAACAGCCACAGUUUAUUAGAACUUACAAUCAUGGAUAACUGUGGUAAUUCUAGAGCUAAUACACGCACAAAAACUUCAACUGAAUUGGUUGAAGUGCUUUUAUUAGAACAAAAGCCGAACGGCGUUUGGCGAAUGUUGAACGUCGAAACUGUUUGGUGAAUCUGAAUAACUAUUUCUGAUCGCAUGGUCUAGCACCGGCGACAUCACUUUCAAGUGUCUGCCUUAUCAACCUUCGAUGGUAGUCUAUGCGACUACCAUGGUGAUAACGGGUAACGGAGAAUCAGGGUUCGACUCCCGAGAGGGAGCCUGAGAAACGGCUACCACAUCCAAGGAAGGCAGCAGGCGCGCAAAUUACCCACUCCCAGCUUGGGGAGGUAGUGACGAAAAAUAACGAGACGAUUCUCGUUUGAGAAACGUUAUCGAAAUGAGUACGCUUUACACACGCUAACGAGUAGCAAUUGGAGGGCAAGUCUGGUGCCAGCAGCCGCGGUAAUUCCAGCUCCAAUAGCGUAUAUUAAAGUUGCUGCGGUUAAAACGCUCGUAGUUGAAUUGUGGUCUUAGACAACAGUCCCCCUACAUAGGUGUGGCACGGCUGCUCGAGAUCUUCAUUCGUGGUUGCUGUUGUUGCUCUUCAUUGAGUGUCAAUGGUGCCUCGAGAUUUUACUUUGAAAAAAUUAGAGUGCUCAAGGCAGGUUGUGAUGCCUGAAUAAUGGUGCAUGGAAUAAUAGAAUACGAUCUCGGUUCUAUUUUGUUGGUUUUCGAACCGGAGAUAAUGAUUGAAAGGAACAGACGGGGGCAUUCGUAUUGCUGCGUUAGAGGUGAAAUUCUUGGAUCGCAGCAAGAUGAACAAUUGCGAAAGCAUUUGCCAAGAAUGUUUUCAUUAAUCAAGAACGAAAGUUAGAGGUUCGAAGGCGAUCAGAUACCGCCCUAGCUCUAACGGUAAACUAUGCCAACCAGCGAUUCGCCGAAGUUCAUUUAAGACUCGGCGAGCAGCUUCCGGGAAACCAAAGUGUUUCGGUUCCGGGGGAAGUAUGGUUGCAAAGCUGAAACUUAAAGGAAUUGACGGAAGGGCACCACCAGGAGUGGAGCCUGCGGCUUAAUUUGACUCAACACGGGAAAACUCACCCGGCCCGGACACUGGAAGGAUUGACAGAUUGACAGCUCUUUCUUGAUUCAGUGGGUAGUGGUGCAUGGCCGUUCUUAGUUGGUGGAGCGAUUUGUCUGGUUAAUUCCGAUAACGAACGAGACUCUACCCUAUUAAAUAGUGACAGUAUUGUAUUUUUUGUGCUGAUCACUUCUUAGAGGGACUGGCAAAUUGAAAGCUGCACGAAAAAGAGCAAUAACAGGUCUGUGAUGCCCUUCGAUGUCCGGGGCUGCACGCGCGCUACAAUGAAAGCGUCAACGUGAGUUACGUCCUUACCUGAAAAGGUUUGGCAAUCGAAUGAAACGUUUUCUUGAAUGGAAUAGGGAAUUGCAAUUGUUUCCCUUGAACGAGGAAUUCCCAGUAAGCGUGAGUCAUUAGCUCGCGUUGAUUACGUCCCUGCCCUUUGUACACACCGCCCGUCGCUACUACCGAUUGGAUGAUUUAGUGAGGUGUUUUGACUGGCGCCAGUAGUCGGAUGUAUUCGGCUUCGCGCCGGGAAAUUUCCCAAACCAAAUCAUCUAGAGGAAGUAAAAGUCGUAACAAGGUUUCCGUAGGUGAACCUGCGGAAGGAUCAUUA
RNAcentral lists this ribosomal RNA (1825 nucleotides) under Trichinella murrelli. Its description in RNAcentral is "SSU rRNA". It matches the Rfam family "Eukaryotic small subunit ribosomal RNA". Lineage: Eukaryota; Metazoa; Nematoda; Enoplea; Trichinellida; Trichinellidae. The record is from RNAcentral.